Agrilus planipennis (emerald ash borer) is the source of this 1693-nucleotide long non-coding RNA. RefSeq lists it as uncharacterized. The transcript is spliced from 5 exons. NCBI's taxonomy places the organism in Eukaryota, Metazoa, Arthropoda, Insecta, Coleoptera, Buprestidae. The record is from RefSeq and is a predicted model, not a curated record.
UUGGAUAGGUGUGUUACAUUUCGCGCUGUAUUUUAAAAAUUUUUGGGCCCCUCGACAAGGAUUUCGACCGAACAGGGAUUUUCGAAAUACAUCAGAUUACCUACGGUUUUCUACCAGCGCAUCUUUUACAAAAUUUGCGAACAAAGCUGAGCGAAGAAACUCUGAAUCGAAUUCGAUAAGAAACGUCGAAAGCAAACAGCGAUCUGCAGUUGAAAGGUGGAAUUAGUUGCCGCGUUUGGCAUUUAUCAUAACUGAUUGUAAGUAGGAAUAGGUCCGCGCCCCUGUGACCCUAUACAGAAGGCGUCGCUGUCCUUAAUGCAGAAAAACUUGGUAAAAUGUAUGUUCAGGUCUUUGAGUUAUUUAUUUAUUUUUUAACUUUAAUUGCUUUUCUUUAAAUAAACACUUGCUUUUUUGACAUGAUGCUACAGCUUCAAGAAUAUUUGUCCGUAAAGUGUGAGAUUUGUUAAUCAAAAUUUAUUUUUCUUUUAAUAGGAUUAGGUAUAAAUGAGAUCAACUAGAUCCCACUACAACUAAUAGCAGGUAUUUGUAAACCAUUGCUAAAAUAUAGUAGUCUAAAAUUUAUAUUUGAUUUGGAGUAUAGGUAGUUUUGGACAAAAGGCUUAUUUUUUGGGAUGGGUUAAAAAGUUAUUUCUGACACGCCAGUUUUCAUCUAGUUAGCGAUAAAAUUGUUAAAAAUGUUAAUGGUCCAGAUCUGUACUAUUUCGGGAUGGUUCAAAUAGGGCGUGUAUGGUUUCAAAUUUAGUAGAUGUAGUAAUAGUUUAUUAUAACUGAGUCAUUAGCCGUUUAAAUUGUGGCAACCUUUUAAUCAGCGAAAACGAAUUCUCACUAAAAUAGCGACUAGUCUUAGGACUGACGAGUCUAUAAUGAUGAUUCCAAAAAUGUAUCAUCCAUUUCUAAAAUUAAUACUCGGUUUCCGGCCAAGUUUAUCCAACUUUACAAAUUAGCAAGAAUCCAAGCAUUUCGACUGUUUUUUUGUUUUGUAUAUGUAGGUAUUCCGAAUUUCAAAAGAACAUUUUUCUCGGUAAGCAUAGGCGACCAGCGACAUUAAUCGUAAGUUGCACAGUUUGUUCGCGACUGAUUUCGGUCUGUCUCUGUCUCGUCGUCUUCGUGAACCUCCUCGAUCUUCAAAUGUGCGUGAACUUUCUAAACAAAGUCGCGCUGGAAUUUGUGACUGCGGUUUACCUUCAUCGUUGACGCCGCGUUUUGCCUCACUCGCUGUUACAGACGACGCCACCGUCGCCGCCGCCGCCGCGGCAUCGCGCCGUUGAUCAACAUUAUUUUUCAGAGAAAGUUCUGAAUGAAUAUAGAGGUACCCGGCGAACUGUCAGCGUUGAAUCGCUUCGUGAAUGAAUGCUUCACCUACUACCUAUCUACCUACCUACCUACCUACCGACCGACCAGAGCCAACAACUAUCUACCGUGUCCGUCUUCUGUUUUGCGCGAGUCCUCGCGGUGUGUCUCGCGCUCGGUUUAUUCAUUCCGCGUUCAUCGAGAUGCAAACAGCGCGAUCCGCGACUCGCGACUCGUCAGUCCGCGAAUGUCCGUCCGAGAUAUUCACAACAAACGAAGUGUAGUGACUUUGUACUUGCAUAAAUCCUUUGCCAUGCCGUUUGCUCGAGGAUCGGAUCGGCUCGCCACCGUCUGCCAAAACGCAUUUUCCUUUGCGGAAAAA